ACUAUGCUUGGCCCUAAACCUCAGUAGUUAAACAACAAAACUACUCGCCAGAAUACUACGAGCAAUAGCUUAAAACUCAAAGGACUUGACGGUGCUUUACAUCCCCCUAGAGGAGCCUGUUCCAUAAUCGAUAAACCCCGAUCCACCUCACCCUCUCUUGCUUAGCCUAUAUACCGCCAUCUUCAGCAAACCCUGAUAAAGGUUACAAAGUGAGCACAAACGCCCUGCCGCCGCAAAAACGUUAGGUCAAGGUGUAGCCAAUGAAAGGGUAAAAAUGGGCUACAUUUUCUACAUCAGAAAACUCCACGAAAACUCUUAUGAAAUCUGAGAGUCCAAGGAGGAUUUAGCAGUAAAUUAAGAAUAGAGUGCUUAAUUGAACCAGGCCAUAAAGCGCGUACACACCGCCCGUCACUCCCCUCAAAUAUAUUUAAGGAACAUCCUAACUAAACGCCCUAAUAUUUAUAUAGAGGGGAUAAGUCGUAACAUGGUAAGUGUACUGGAAAGUGCACUUGGACAGAC
RNAcentral lists this ribosomal RNA (519 nucleotides) under Macaca brunnescens. RNAcentral describes it as "partial 12S ribosomal RNA". It matches the Rfam family "Bacterial small subunit ribosomal RNA", at positions 789 to 1522 of the family's 1533-position model. The record is from RNAcentral. Lineage: Eukaryota; Metazoa; Chordata; Mammalia; Primates; Cercopithecidae.